This 301-nucleotide ribosomal RNA is filed under the name uncultured bacterium. Its description in RNAcentral is "partial 16S ribosomal RNA". It matches the Rfam family "Bacterial small subunit ribosomal RNA", at positions 509 to 809 of the family's 1533-position model. The record is from RNAcentral.
CAGCCGCCGCGGUAAAACGUAGGGCGCAAGCGUUGUCCGGAAUUAUUGGGCGUAAAGAGCUCGUAGGCGGUCUGUCGCGUCUGGUGUGAAAUCCCGAGGCUCAACCUCGGGCUUGCAUCGGGUACGGGCAGACUAGAGUGCGGUAGGGGAGACUGGAAUUCCUGGUGUAGCGGUGGAAUGCGCAGAUAUCAGGAGGAACACCGAUGGCGAAGGCAGGUCUCUGGGCCGCAACUGACGCUGAGGAGCGAAAGCAUGGGGAGCGAACAGGAUUAGAUACCCCUGUAGUCCCUGUCUCUUAUAA